Molecule: ribosomal RNA, 468 nt
Filed under: uncultured bacterium
Lineage: Bacteria
Description: partial 16S ribosomal RNA
Rfam family: Bacterial small subunit ribosomal RNA
Source: RNAcentral
GACGAACGCUGGCGGCGUGCUUAACACAUGCAAGUCGAACGGAAAGGCCCUGCUUUUGUGGGGUGCUCGAGUGGCGAACGGGUGCGUAACACGUGAGUAACCUGCCCUUGACUUUGGGAUAACUUCAGGAAACUGGGGCUAAUACCGGAUAGGAGCUCCUGCUGCAUGGUGGGGGUUGGAAAGUUUCGGCGGGUGGGGAUGGACUCGCGGCUUAUCAGCUUGUUGGUGGGGUAGUGGCUUACCAAGGCUUUGACGGGUAGCCGGCCUGAGAGGGUGACCGGCCACAUUGGGACUGAGAUACGGCCCAGACUCCUACGGGAGGCAGCAGUGGGGAAUAUUGCACAAUGGGCGGAAGCCUGAUGCAGCAACGCCGCGUGCGGGAUGACGGCCUUCGGGUUGUAAACCGCUUUCGCCUGUGACGAAGCGUGAGUGACGGUAAUGGGUAAAGAAGCACCGGCUAACUACGUG